UACGUAGGGUGCGAGCGUUAAUCGGAAUUACUGGGCGUAAAGCGUGCGCAGGCGGUUUUGUAAGUCAGAUGUGAAAUCCCCGAGCUCAACUUGGGAACUGCGUUUGAAACUACAAGACUAGAAUAUGUCAGAGGGGGGUAGAAUUCCACGUGUAGCAGUGAAAUGCGUAGAGAUGUGGAGGAAUACCAAUGGCGAAGGCAGCCCCCUGGGAUAAUAUUGACGCUCAUGCACGAAAGCGUGGGGAGCAAAC
Molecule: ribosomal RNA, 250 nt
Filed under: uncultured bacterium
Lineage: Bacteria
Also listed under: 1 other name
Description: partial 16S ribosomal RNA
Rfam family: Bacterial small subunit ribosomal RNA
Source: RNAcentral